Molecule: non-coding RNA, 22 nt
Filed under: Arabidopsis thaliana (thale cress)
Lineage: Eukaryota; Viridiplantae; Streptophyta; Magnoliopsida; Brassicales; Brassicaceae
Also listed under: 1 other name
Source: RNAcentral
CGUUGCUUUUUGAUCCUUCGAU